Molecule: long non-coding RNA, 606 nt
Filed under: Trifolium pratense (red clover)
Lineage: Eukaryota; Viridiplantae; Streptophyta; Magnoliopsida; Fabales; Fabaceae
Description: long non-coding RNA (TPRA_LNC004932)
Source: RNAcentral
AAAGUGCGACAUCCAUCCUUGCAAUUAGAGUCAAUGAACUUUAAUGAUUUGAGAGUAUAAUGAAGUUUUUAUAGCGUCAUCUCAAACAGCUCACAAAUCAACAGUAAACCGUUAUAUCAUAAUAAAAGACUAUAAUAAUAAUCAAUGCAAGAGUAAUUCAAUUUUUAAUUACCUUAAGAGUUGCUCAGAUUAUUAUCUCUAAUGAUAUUUUACGAUUGAGCAUGUAAGUAACAAGAUAACUUAUAAUUCGUAAAAUUAACCAAACACAGUAAUUCAUGCAUCUAGCAAAUAUGGAUCAUAUAUGCGAUUGAUCAACAUUAUUCUAGGAUUGGCUGGUUUAAUUAACAAUAUCUGCUGCAUCAUUAUUCAAUCAACUUUGGAGUACAUAUAGAAACAACUAAUAUCCAUGCCCAAAAUAUCUGAUGCAUUAAUUUUAGAUUUCCAAAAAGAAAAUAUAUUGAAUUAGCCAAAACCUAGAUCCAUUCAUCAUGAACAGGAACCAUACGGCAUACAUAAAACCAAUAUUUAUAAAAUUGCAUCACGAUCCAAAGCACAAUCACACCUUAUUAAUAGUCACACAAAAUUUGAUCAAAUAAAAAAUGUGAU